Molecule: ribosomal RNA, 407 nt
Filed under: uncultured Actinomycetales bacterium
Lineage: Bacteria; Bacillati; Actinomycetota; Actinomycetes; Actinomycetales
Description: bacterial SSU rRNA
Rfam family: Bacterial small subunit ribosomal RNA
Source: RNAcentral
UGGGGAAUAUUGCACAAUGGGCGCAAGCCUGAUGCAGCGACGCCGCGUGAGGGAUGACGGCCUUCGGGUUGUAAACCUCUUUCAGUAGGGACGAAGCGAGAGUGACGGUACCUGCAGAAGAAGCGCCGGCCAACUACGUGCCAGCAGCCGCGGUAAUACGUAGGGCGCAAGCGUUGUCCGGAAUUAUUGGGCGUAAAGAGCUCGUAGGCGGUUUGUCACGUCGGCUGUGAAAUCCCGAGGCUCAACCUCGGGCUUGCAGUCGAUACGGGCAGACUAGAGUGGAGCAGGGGAGACUGGAAUUCCUGGUGUAGCGGUGAAAUGCGCAGAUAUCAGGAGGAACACCGAUGGCGAAGGCAGGUCUCUGGGCUUUAACUGACGCUGAGGAGCGAAAGCGUGGGUAGCGAACA